Tachysurus fulvidraco (yellow catfish) is the source of this 1705-nucleotide long non-coding RNA. RefSeq lists it as uncharacterized. The record is from RefSeq and is a predicted model, not a curated record. NCBI's taxonomy places the organism in Eukaryota, Metazoa, Chordata, Actinopteri, Siluriformes, Bagridae. The transcript is spliced from 3 exons.
UACGAAUAUUAACUACAUAUCAAUUCCUUACAAUUAUGAGCAACUGCAGUAUGUGAUUUGGAGUAAAAUCAACACCAGCUACCUAAAUUUAUUUAAUGAAAAACACACUUCAGAAAAGUGAUUAAAUUGUACUUAACAUUCUGCAUUUUAUGAAGUACGUGUAAAUUUCAAGUAAAAUCUAUCUGAUACAAAAGCCUCAUAAAAUCUACACUAUUAAAUUACAAUCAUGCAGACAUACACAUUAGUCAAAGCUCAUGCUGAGGGAAGCCUGCAGGAAAACCGGUUCUUUCUGGUUCUUUCUGGUUCAUUUGAAUUUCUGGGGCACUCUGGACAUUCACAGGAUGUGGCAUUUAGAAAUGUUAUUUAAGGGUUGCUACUCUAGGAUAGACUCCAGGACUGAAACAAUUUUCACCAACCGGGAAAGGUGAAGGCCAACACAUGCUUCCUCCAAGACACGUGAAGCCAACCAACCGCAUCUUUCCACAUUGUUGCUCAUACUGCGUCAAAGGACAGUGCUAUCACACUUAGAGAAAAGAGCCCUAUUACACAUACAUGAGCUCACAGACAUGCAUGCCUCUGUGAUUGACAUGGGAGAGAGAGAAUGUCAUUCCUUCCACUCAGAGAGCAUGGCCAAUUUUGGUACAGCUGGCUGUGGCACCUUGAGGAUUCUUGACACAGGACAAAUGGUUUUUUGGCUGCUCAGCUCAGGGGUUUUUCAAGAUACUAUAGUAUUAGUCAUCCAGCACCAAGCUUUACACAAAAAUCCAUUUUGUACUGAUGCCAUGCUAGAACUACGGCUAAGCAGAACAGACGACAAAAAUCUAUUGGUCUUACCAUAACAAGAAUCUUAUUAUGAAGAGCAUUCAUAUAAGGUUGUUCUAUACAUAAUUGCAAUUCACAUAGAAAAAGAUCACAUGCAUGGGACACAAUGCAAGAAUUCACAAUUAUUCCCGCAUUCUAGUGAUGAAUAAACACCCUUUAACUGUACUGCAGCAAUUAUGGUGCCUUACAUAAAUAUUCGCCUCUUUUGGAUCUUUCCCCAUUCUAUAAAUUGGGAUUAUAUGUUCUAGACAAAAAAAAACCCUUGGCAAAAAACUGAAGUGAUUUAUUUGCUUCUCUGACUAAUGCUCUCCUUAUCUGUAAGCAGAGUCAUGGCUGUCUUUCCAUUUUGGAUGAAAUAAUAAUGGACUAAUGAUCCUUGGUCUUUAUGGGGCUAUUUGUUUCGGAAUGUUGCAUAAAAACUCAGGAAUAAGUAUAUUUAUAGUGAGAACACAAGUGGACUCUGUUCCACUAAUUACUGUAUGUGAUUAAUUUACUUCAGUAUUAUGGGCUAUUUUAUGUAGAUUCAUGACAUACUGCAUAAUUGCAAGGAAAGUAAUUUUAGUUCCAGGGACUAACACUACAAAAAGAAGAGAGGUUCAAGGGGGAUGAGUACUUAUACAAGCCUCUGUAUAUCUUUUUUUCUUUAAAUACAGACUAUCUUCAAACACUGACCAUGUGGUCCAUUAUUGGGCUCUUUAAAAGCUUAAAAAGUCUUUUAGUAAUUACCAUAGCUCAGUUUACUGCGAUAAUAGUGAAAAUGUCAGUGGAAGGUCUGAUCUGAUCUGACAGUCCAAUAUGCACCAAGGUCACAGUAUUGCUUAAGUAGUGUCUCUUCGGUUAAAUUAGGUUAAUGGCAGGUUUUGCUUCUCAACAGAAAAGCACU